AGAGUUUGAUCCUGGCUCAGAACAAACGCUGGCGGCGUGUCUUAAGCAUGCAAGUUGAGCGGCAAGGGGGAGCAAUCCCUCCUAGAGCAGCGGACUGGUGAGUAACGCGUGGGUAAUCUGCCUUGGGCAUGGGGAUAGCCACUAGAAAUAGUGGGUAAUACCGAAUACGUUCCACGGGGGGAGGACUUGUGGAAGAAAGGGUGCUACGGCACUGGCCUGAGAUGAGCUCGCGUCCCAUUAGCUGGUUGGUGAGGUAACGGCCCACCAAGGCGAUGAUGGGUAGCCGGCCUGAGAGGGUGUACGGCCACACUGGGACUGAGAUACGGCCCAGACUCCUACGGGAGGCAGCAGCUAAGAAUAUUCCGCAAUGGACGGAAGUCUGACGGAGCGACGCCGCGUGGAUGACGAAGGCCGAAAGGUUGUAAAGUUCUUUUGCUGGGGAAGAAUAACCGCAGGAGGGAAUGCCUGUGGGAUGACAUGAACCGGCGAAUAAGCCCCGGCCAACUACGUGCCAGCAGCCGCGGUAACACGUAGGGGGCGAGCGUUGUUCGGAAUUACUGGGCGUAAAGGGCAUGUAGGCGGCUUGGUAAGCCUGGCGUGGAA
RNAcentral lists this ribosomal RNA (603 nucleotides) under uncultured Spirochaetaceae bacterium. Its description in RNAcentral is "bacterial SSU rRNA". It matches the Rfam family "Bacterial small subunit ribosomal RNA", at positions 8 to 599 of the family's 1533-position model. The record is from RNAcentral. Lineage: Bacteria; Pseudomonadati; Spirochaetota; Spirochaetia; Spirochaetales; Spirochaetaceae.